CCAGAGGGUAGCCUAAACACCUAAGGCACUCAACUUACAAUUGAAAAAUGUUCACCCAUGAACCCCCCUGA
RNAcentral lists this transfer RNA (71 nucleotides) under Aristelliger cochranae (Cochran's Caribbean gecko). Its description in RNAcentral is "tRNA-Val". Lineage: Eukaryota; Metazoa; Chordata; Lepidosauria; Squamata; Sphaerodactylidae. The record is from RNAcentral.